Molecule: long non-coding RNA, 1544 nt
Filed under: Sus scrofa (pig)
Lineage: Eukaryota; Metazoa; Chordata; Mammalia; Artiodactyla; Suidae
Description: lncRNA (ENSSSCG00060075743.1)
Source: RNAcentral
UUAUGCUAGUUUCUCUUCUAUUCUGGGAAUAGGAGCACAUGUGAUGUCAGGAAAUUCCACUGUUUCACAUGACAUUUUGUGUCACCAGCAGGAUUGUGUUUCUCUACCUGUGAGUUGUACUGUUCCCUGAACAUCCUGUCUUUUUCUUCCUCCCAUCCUUGUUACCUCUCCUUCUAGAUUCGUCCCCACCGCCUCCUUUGAGCAGGCCACUCCAUCAGGAUGGUACUUUCAGCAUUUUCUUCUGGCUAAUACAGUCUUUAGGGGUUUUGCUCCCAAGGAUAUAAGUUUUGUGAUGGGCAAAAAAAAGGUGUGAAAUAUUUCCAAACUCUUAAGUAACCAAUGGGUGACGAAUACAUGACUCUCUUUUUUUGGCUGCAGCCUCAGCACAUGGAAGUUCCCGGGCCAGGGAUUGAAUCUGAGCCCCAGCUGUGACCUACACCGCAGCUGAGGCAGCACCGGAUGCCUCAUCCACUGCACCACAGUGAGAACGCCUAUGACUCAUUUUUUUUUUUCUUUAAACAUUAGAUUUCUUUGAUGAAUUUUGUGCUCAGGGGUUCUUGUGAGAUCUCAUUCUGAAGUCUGGCCUGGGGGUGUGUGCUGUAAAAAUUAAGAGUCUUUAAAACAUUCAGGUCACCACUCAUCUAUUUGACAAAUAUUUAUUAAGUGUCUUUUCUGGUCACCAGAGGGAGAGCAGCACAUUCACUCUCAUUCCCUUUGGAUGGAAAACCUAAUUGGUAUCCAUGUGAGAACCUCGGCGGACAAGGACUGGGAGCUACUCACAUAGCCAAUUGUUUUGCGUGGAUUGAUAUACAUGGUUGUUUUCCUGGCAAAGUCAGGGGCUACGUGUUUCUUUUCUGUUUCUUUUUUUUCCCAUUCCCCUGAAGCUGUGCUUCCCCCCUUGGGGUUCCUGAGCUUGAAGGGACUGCUUCGUAUUGUAUUUAUCAGUUAAUUAAUAUUUCUCAAAGCUGAGAGCGAGACAAAAGCAAAUUAAAAUCCAGUCUCUUUGCUUUGGGUUAAAGUGAUAUGCUCUCCGUUCUGUAUCUCGUGUUGAUCUGAAGCUCUGAUUGGUAGUUAUAUCAAUUCUUUUGUGAAUUAAACACAGGGAAAAGAAUGAAUUUUUUUAAAGGGCCACACCCAUGGCCUCUGGAGGUUCCCAGGCUAGGGGUCAGAUUGGAGCUGCAGCUGCCAGUCUACACCACAGCCACAGCAAUGUCAGAUUCUUAACCCACUGAGCGGGGCCAGGGAUGGAACCCGCGUCCUCAUGGAUACUAGUCGGGUUCUUAACCUGCUGAGCCACAACAGGAACUCCAAGAAUGAAUUCUUGCUUAACAUCAUUUGUUUUACUAAACACUGUCAAAUUAUUUUUGGAGGGGAGUGUGGUUGGAGACGUAGUAACGGCAGCUGACAGAGAGCACAUAGGUGGUUACAGACUAGAUUGUCAAUGUUAGUUGUUUAGUUGUAACGGAACCCAAAGUAGAUAUUGAUUUUUUAUUUUUUGGCUUCACCCACAGCAUGUGGGAGUUCCCAAGCUAGGCAUCGAACCU